RNAcentral lists this ribosomal RNA (495 nucleotides) under uncultured bacterium. Its description in RNAcentral is "partial 16S ribosomal RNA". It matches the Rfam family "Bacterial small subunit ribosomal RNA", at positions 28 to 507 of the family's 1533-position model. The record is from RNAcentral.
GACGAACGCUGGCGGCGUGCCUAAUACAUGCAAGUAGAACGCUGAAGGAGGAGCUUGCUUCUCUGGAUGAGUUGCGAACGGGUGAGUAACGCGUAGGUAACCUGCCUGGUAGCGGGGGAUAACUAUUGGAAACGAUAGCUAAUACCGCAUAAGAGUAGAUGUUGCAUGACAUUUGCUUAAAAGGUGCAAUUGCAUCACUACCAGAUGGACCUGCGUUGUAUUAGCUAGUUGGUGAGGUAACGGCUCACCAAGGCAACGAUACAUAGCCGACCUGAGAGGGUGAUCGGCCACACUGGGACUGAGACACGGCCCAGACUCCUACGGGAGGCAGCAGUAGGGAAUCUUCGGCAAUGGACGGAGGUCUGACCGAGCAACGCCGCGUGAGUGAAGAAGGUUUUCGGAUCGUAAAGCUCUGUUGUAAGAGAAGAACGAGUGUGAGAGUGGAAAGUUCACACUGUGACGGUAUCUUACCAGAAAGGGACGGCUAACUACGUG